RNAcentral lists this long non-coding RNA (531 nucleotides) under Trifolium pratense (red clover). Its description in RNAcentral is "long non-coding RNA (TPRA_LNC010100)". The record is from RNAcentral. Lineage: Eukaryota; Viridiplantae; Streptophyta; Magnoliopsida; Fabales; Fabaceae.
UUCGCUACAGCGAACGUGUUCGCUACGUGUUCGCUAUCUGUUCGCCAUGUACCUGUAACCCUCUGAUGUAGUUCGCUACCUGUUCGCUACAGCGAACGUGUUCGCUACGUGUUCGCUACGGGUUCGCUACGGAUUCGCUCAGCGAACAGCACUGUGACAGCAACUUUUGAUAAUUGUUUUAAGUGCAAUUAGGCACUUGUAACAUGGUUUAAGGGUAUCCUUACAUGUUUAUUGAUACAUGUUGAUGUCGUUAAUGCUUAUUGUUAAUCGUUAUAUGAUUCGCACGCGUAUGCAACGACUUGUAGUUCAAGCAACUAUGUUUAUGUUUUAGCAUUAAUUUGCAAUGUUAAGGAAAUGAGGUGUGUUUUAUGACAUAAGUGUAAAUGAAACCUUAUGUGUAUAAAAAUGGUUAUGCAGAUAAUUAUCAUGUGAAUAAUUAUGAUUGGAGUGAUAGGAUAUUGUGUUAUCCUAAUGUGUUAGAUGUUGGAAUUGUGUUUCCGCAUCAGUGAAUGAAUAGCUUCGAGCUAGAUA